UACGAAGGGUGCAAGCGUUACUCGGAAUUACUGGGCGUAAAGCGUGCGUAGGCGGUUAGUUAAGUCUGCUGUGAAAUCCCCGGGCUCAACCUGGGAAUUGCAUUUGUGACUGCCCGGCUAGAGUGUGUCAGAGGGGGGUAGAAUUCCACGUGUAGCAGUGAAAUGCGUAGAGAUGUGGAGGAAUACCGAUGGCGAAGGCAGCCCCCUGGGAUAACACUGACGCUCAUGCACGAAAGCGUGGGGAGCAAACAGG
RNAcentral lists this ribosomal RNA (253 nucleotides) under uncultured bacterium. RNAcentral describes it as "partial 16S ribosomal RNA". It matches the Rfam family "Bacterial small subunit ribosomal RNA", at positions 524 to 776 of the family's 1533-position model. The record is from RNAcentral.